UACGUAGGGUGCGAGCGUUGUCCGGAAUUAUUGGGCGUAAAGGGCUCGUAGGCGGUUUGUCGCGUCGGGAGUGAAAACCUCGGGCUUAACUCGGGGCUUGCUUUCGAUACGGGCAGACUGGAGGUAUGCAGGGGAGAACGGAAUUCCUGGUGUAGCGGUGAAAUGCGUAGAUAUCGAGAGGAACACCUGCGGCGAAGGCGGGUUGCUGGGCUGACACUGACGCUGAGGCGCGAAAGCCAGGGGAGCGAACGGG
This 253-nucleotide ribosomal RNA is filed under the name uncultured bacterium. RNAcentral describes it as "partial 16S ribosomal RNA". It matches the Rfam family "Bacterial small subunit ribosomal RNA", at positions 524 to 776 of the family's 1533-position model. The record is from RNAcentral.